UACGGAGGGUGCAAACGUUGCUCGGAAUCAUUGGGCGUAAAGCGCACGUAGGCGGACCGCUAAGUCGGAUGUGAAAGCCCUCGGCUUAACCGAGGAAGUGCAUUCGAAACUGACGGUCUUGAGUAUGGAAGAGGGUCGCGGAAUUCCCGGUGUAGAGGUGAAAUUCGUAGAUAUCGGGAGGAACACCAGUGGCGAAGGCGGCGACCUGGGCCAAUACUGACGCUGAGGUGCGAAAGCGUGGGGAGCAAACGGG
This 253-nucleotide ribosomal RNA is filed under the name uncultured bacterium. Its description in RNAcentral is "partial 16S ribosomal RNA". It matches the Rfam family "Bacterial small subunit ribosomal RNA", at positions 524 to 776 of the family's 1533-position model. The record is from RNAcentral.